UUAAGCGACUAAGCGUACACGGUGGAUGCCCUGGCAGUCAGAGGCGAUGAAGGACGUGCUAAUCUGCGAUAAGCGUCGGUAAGGUGAUAUGAACCGUUAUAACCGGCGAUUUCCGAAUGGGGAAACCCAGUGUGAUUCGUCACACUAUCAUUAACUGAAUCCAUAGGUUAAUGAGGCGAACCGGGGGAACUGAAACAUCUAAGUACCCCGAGGAAAAGAAAUCAACCGAGAUUCCCCCAGUAGCGGCGAGCGAACGGGGAGCAGCCCAGAGCCUGAAUCAGUGUGUGUGUUAGUGGAAGCGUCUGGAAAGGCGCGCGAUACAGGGUGACAGCCCCGUACACAAAAAUGCACAUGCUGUGAGCUCGAUGAGUAGGGCGGGACACGUGGUAUCCUGUCUGAAUAUGGGGGGACCAUCCUCCAAGGCUAAAUACUCCUGACUGACCGAUAGUGAACCAGUACCGUGAGGGAAAGGCGAAAAGAACCCCGGCGAGGGGAGUGAAAAAGAACCUGAAACCGUGUACGUACAAGCAGUGGGAGCACGCUUAGGCGUGUGACUGCGUACCUUUUGUAUAAUGGGUCAGCGACUUAUAUUCUGUAGCAAGGUUAACCGAAUAGGGGAGCCGAAGGGAAACCGAGUCUUAACUGGGCGUUAAGUUGCAGGGUAUAGACCCGAAACCCGGUGAUCUAGCCAUGGGCAGGUUGAAGGUUGGGUAACACUAACUGGAGGACCGAACCGACUAAUGUUGAAAAAUUAGCGGAUGACUUGUGGCUGGGGGUGAAAGGCCAAUCAAACCGGGAGAUAGCUGGUUCUCCCCGAAAGCUAUUUAGGUAGCGCCUCGUGAACUCAUCUCCGGGGGUAGAGCACUGUUUCGGCAAGGGGGUCAUCCCGACUUACCAACCCGAUGCAAACUGCGAAUACCGGAGAAUGUUAUCACGGGAGACACACGGCGGGUGCUAACGUCCGUCGUGAAGAGGGAAACAACCCAGACCGCCAGCUAAGGUCCCAAAGUCAUGGUUAAGUGGGAAACGAUGUGGGAAGGCCCAGACAGCCAGGAUGUUGGCUUAGAAGCAGCCAUCAUUUAAAGAAAGCGUAAUAGCUCACUGGUCGAGUCGGCCUGCGCGGAAGAUGUAACGGGGCUAAACCAUGCACCGAAGCUGCGGCAGCGACGCUGAUGCGUUGUUGGGUAGGGGAGCGUUCUGUAAGCCUGUGAAGGUGUGCUGUGAGGCAUGCUGGAGGUAUCAGAAGUGCGAAUGCUGACAUAAGUAACGAUAAAGCGGGUGAAAAGCCCGCUCGCCGGAAGACCAAGGGUUCCUGUCCAACGUUAAUCGGGGCAGGGUGAGUCGACCCCUAAGGCGAGGCCGAAAGGCGUAGUCGAUGGGAAACAGGUUAAUAUUCCUGUACUUGGUGUUACUGCGAAGGGGGGACGGAGAAGGCUAUGUUGGCCGGGCGACGGUUGUCCCGGUUUAAGCGUGUAGGCUGGUUUUCCAGGCAAAUCCGGAAAAUCAAGGCUGAGGCGUGAUGACGAGGCACUACGGUGCUGAAGCAACAAAUGCCCUGCUUCCAGGAAAAGCCUCUAAGCAUCAGGUAACAUCAAAUCGUACCCCAAACCGACACAGGUGGUCAGGUAGAGAAUACCAAGGCGCUUGAGAGAACUCGGGUGAAGGAACUAGGCAAAAUGGUGCCGUAACUUCGGGAGAAGGCACGCUGAUAUGUAGGUGAAGUCCCUCGCGGAUGGAGCUGAAAUCAGUCGAAGAUACCAGCUGGCUGCAACUGUUUAUUAAAAACACAGCACUGUGCAAACACGAAAGUGGACGUAUACGGUGUGACGCCUGCCCGGUGCCGGAAGGUUAAUUGAUGGGGUCAGCGCAAGCGAAGCUCUUGAUCGAAGCCCCGGUAAACGGCGGCCGUAACUAUAACGGUCCUAAGGUAGCGAAAUUCCUUGUCGGGUAAGUUCCGACCUGCACGAAUGGCGUAAUGAUGGCCAGGCUGUCUCCACCCGAGACUCAGUGAAAUUGAACUCGCUGUGAAGAUGCAGUGUACCCGCGGCAAGACGGAAAGACCCCGUGAACCUUUACUAUAGCUUGACACUGAACAUUGAGCCUUGAUGUGUAGGAUAGGUGGGAGGCUUAGAAGUGUGGACGCCAGUCUGCAUGGAGCCGACCUUGAAAUACCACCCUUUAAUGUUUGAUGUUCUAACGUUGACCCGUAAUCCGGGUUGCGGACAGUGUCUGGUGGGUAGUUUGACUGGGGCGGUCUCCUCCUAAAGAGUAACGGAGGAGCACGAAGGUUGGCUAAUCCUGGUCGGACAUCAGGAGGUUAGUGCAAUGGCAUAAGCCAGCUUGACUGCGAGCGUGACGGCGCGAGCAGGUGCGAAAGCAGGUCAUAGUGAUCCGGUGGUUCUGAAUGGAAGGGCCAUCGCUCAACGGAUAAAAGGUACUCCGGGGAUAACAGGCUGAUACCGCCCAAGAGUUCAUAUCGACGGCGGUGUUUGGCACCUCGAUGUCGGCUCAUCACAUCCUGGGGCUGAAGUAGGUCCCAAGGGUAUGGCUGUUCGCCAUUUAAAGUGGUACGCGAGCUGGGUUUAGAACGUCGUGAGACAGUUCGGUCCCUAUCUGCCGUGGGCGCUGGAGAACUGAGGGGGGCUGCUCCUAGUACGAGAGGACCGGAGUGGACGCAUCACUGGUGUUCGGGUUGUCAUGCCAAUGGCACUGCCCGGUAGCUAAAUGCGGAAGAGAUAAGUGCUGAAAGCAUCUAAGCACGAAACUUGCCCCGAGAUGAGUUCUCCCUGACCCUUUAAGGGUCCUGAAGGAACGUUGAAGACGAAGACGUUGAUAGGCCGGGUGUGUAAGCGCAGCGAUGCGUUGAGCUAACCGGUACUAAUGAACCGUGAGGCUUAACCUU
This 2902-nucleotide ribosomal RNA is filed under the name Escherichia coli 2-052-05_S1_C1. RNAcentral's name for it is "bacterial LSU rRNA". It matches the Rfam family "Bacterial large subunit ribosomal RNA". Lineage: Bacteria; Pseudomonadati; Pseudomonadota; Gammaproteobacteria; Enterobacterales; Enterobacteriaceae. The record is from RNAcentral.